AAUGAACGUUGGCGGCGUGGAUUAGGCAUGCAAGUCGAGCGGGCGUAGCAAAUACGCCAGCGGCGGAAGGGUGAGUAAGGCGACGGCAACCAACCCCGAGAAUGGGUAUAGCCGCGGGAAACUGCGGGUAAUCCCCAGCGAUGCGAGGGCGUCGGCAUCGACGCUUCGCCAAAGGAUUCGUCCGUCUCGGGACGGGCCGUCGUGGUAUUAGGUAGUUGGCGGGGUAACGGCCCACCAAGCCAUCGAUGCCUACCGGGCGUGCGAGCGCGGCCCGGCGACACUGGGACUGAGACACUGCCCAGACUCCUACGGGAGGCUGCAGUCGAGAAUCUUCGGCAAUGGGCGCAAGCCUGACCGAGCGACGCCGCGUGGAGGACGAAGGCC
RNAcentral lists this ribosomal RNA (384 nucleotides) under uncultured bacterium. RNAcentral's name for it is "bacterial SSU rRNA". It matches the Rfam family "Bacterial small subunit ribosomal RNA", at positions 28 to 416 of the family's 1533-position model. The record is from RNAcentral.